Molecule: long non-coding RNA, 372 nt
Organism: Macadamia integrifolia
Lineage: Eukaryota; Viridiplantae; Streptophyta; Magnoliopsida; Proteales; Proteaceae
Exons: 3
Source: RefSeq, a predicted model, not a curated record
GUGCCUCUCCCUCUUACUCCCCUCCUGCUGCCACCACCACAUCUGCUACCUCCUCCGUGAACUACCCUCCACCAGCCCCCGAGUAAGUGGAUAAAAAUGAAGUAAAAGCUCCGAUCCAUAUAAAAAAAUGCAGGUACUGUCUAUGAUGCCCCAAUCAAAGAUCUGAGCUGUUCAAUCACAAUUACUGGCACAUCAAACACCUAUCAAAGGAAGAUACAAGAGCUUUCUCCUUUGUAAAGUACCCGAGUAUGGAGUGAGCGACUGGAGGAUGCCGGAAGCUAGGGAGCAUGACCUAGAUUGUGCCUGUGAUGUUUAUACAUAAGCGGUACCAUGAGGUGUUGGGCGUAUUUUUGUGAUUUUGAUACAAAUUUG